This 253-nucleotide ribosomal RNA is filed under the name uncultured bacterium. RNAcentral describes it as "partial 16S ribosomal RNA". It matches the Rfam family "Bacterial small subunit ribosomal RNA", at positions 524 to 776 of the family's 1533-position model. The record is from RNAcentral.
GACAGAGGGUGCAAACGUUGUUCGGAAUUACUGGGCGUAAAGCGCAUGUAGGCGGCCUAGCAGGUCGGAUGUGAAAUCCCUCGGCUCAACCAAGGAAGUGCAUUCGAAACCGCAAGGCUGGAGCCCCGGAGAGGAUGGUGGAAUUCUCGGUGUAGAGGUGAAAUUCGUAGAUAUCGAGAGGAACACCGGCGGCGAAGGCGGGUUGCUGGGCCGACACUGACGCUGAUGCGCGAAAGCCAGGGGAGCGAACGGG